GGCGGACGGGUGAGUAACGCGUAGGAAUCUACCUAAUAGUGGGGGAUAGCCCAGGGAAACUUGGAUUAAUACCGCAUACGCCCUAAGGGGGAAAGCGGGGGAUCUUCGGACCUCGUGCUAUUAGAUGAGCCUGCGUAAGAUUAGCUAGUUGGUGAGGUAAGAGCUCACCAAGGCGACGAUCUUUAGCUGGUCUGAGAGGAUGAUCAGCCACACUGGGACUGAGACACGGCCCAGACUCCUACGGGAGGCAGCAGUGGGGAAUAUUGGACAAUGGGGGCAACCCUGAUCCAGCCAUGCCGCGUGUGUGAAGAAGGCCUUCGGGUUGUAAAGCACUUUCAGAUGUGAGGAAAGGUUACAGAUUAAUACUCUGUAGCUGUGACGUUAACAUCAGAAGAAGGACCGGCUAACUCCGUGCCAGCAGCCGCGGUAAUACGGAGGGUCCGAGCGUUAAUCGGAAUUACUGGGCGUAAAGCGCGC
RNAcentral lists this ribosomal RNA (477 nucleotides) under uncultured Oceanospirillaceae bacterium. RNAcentral's name for it is "bacterial SSU rRNA". It matches the Rfam family "Bacterial small subunit ribosomal RNA", at positions 97 to 570 of the family's 1533-position model. The record is from RNAcentral. Lineage: Bacteria; Pseudomonadati; Pseudomonadota; Gammaproteobacteria; Oceanospirillales; Oceanospirillaceae.